CCUACGGGAGGCAGCAGUAGGGAAUCUUCCACAAUGGGCGAAAGCCUGAUGGAGCAACGCCGCGUGGGUGAAGAAGGUCUUCGGAUCGUAAAACCCUGUUGUUAGAGAAGAAAGUGCGUGAGAGUAACUGUUCACGUUUCGACGGUAUCUACCCAGAAAGCCACGGCUAACUACGUGCCAGCAGCCGCGGUAAUACGUAGGUGGCAAGCGUUAUCCGGAUUUAUUGGGCGUAAAGGGAACGCAGGCGGUCUUUUAAGUCUGAUGUGAAAACCUUCGGCUUAACCGGGGUAGUGCAUUUGAUACUGGGAGACUAGAGUGCAGAAGAGGAGGGUGGAACUCCAUGUGUAGCGGUGAAAUGCGUAGAUAUAUGGAGGAACACCAGUGGCGAAAGCGGCUCUCUGGUCUAAGACUGACGCUGAGGUGCGAAAGCGUGGGUAGCAAACAGGAUUAGAUACCCGUGUAGUC
This 465-nucleotide ribosomal RNA is filed under the name uncultured bacterium. RNAcentral describes it as "partial 16S ribosomal RNA". It matches the Rfam family "Bacterial small subunit ribosomal RNA", at positions 338 to 795 of the family's 1533-position model. The record is from RNAcentral.